This 346-nucleotide small nuclear RNA is filed under the name Meriones unguiculatus (Mongolian gerbil). RNAcentral's name for it is "7SK RNA (ENSMUGG00000018580.1)". It matches the Rfam family "7SK RNA". From Rfam's summary of the family: 7SK was discovered as an abundant small nuclear RNA in the mid-70s but a possible function has only recently been suggested. Two independent studies have found that 7SK RNA binds the CDK9/cyclin T complex (known as elongation factor P-TEFb). The record is from RNAcentral. Lineage: Eukaryota; Metazoa; Chordata; Mammalia; Rodentia; Muridae.
GGAUCUGAGGAGGGUCUGGCUGUGUGUGACAUCUGUCACCCCACUGAUUGCCAGGCUUGAUCUGACUGAGCUGGCUGGCUACUUAAGUCUCCCCCUCAUCCCUCAUUGGUCCAUGUGUGUCCCUCUUGAAGAAGCAAUACUCAAUGGAAGAGGGCAGGGCCUUCCCUAAAUAGGGCAAGACAAGACGAUGGGUUUUGGUUAAAGAUAGCUGUACUCACCUGCUUGAAUCUCCAACAAGUUCUUAAGAACCCAGAGAGAGUCUCUUGUAGUGACGGCAUAUACAACUGCUAAGUCCUAAUGGCCAUAGAAGAGUGGGAAAAUCUAAGAAGAGAUUUUUUCUUUCUAU